GCCAUUAACUAUAACAUUUGUUCAGAACAUGUUUGGGAAAGUGAUCUAUUUUUAGCUAAGCAGGGCUGAGCCUGGCCAGUACCUGGAUGGGAGACCACUAGGGAACACUAGGUUGCUGUUGGAC
Ribosomal RNA from Danio rerio (zebrafish), 124 nucleotides. Lineage: Eukaryota; Metazoa; Chordata; Actinopteri; Cypriniformes; Danionidae. The record is from Ensembl.